UUUUUAGUAUAAGUAUAUCCCAUGCAAUAUUUGGGAUAUACCUAUGUUAAAA
Pteropus alecto (black flying fox) is the source of this 52-nucleotide non-coding RNA. The record is from Rfam. Lineage: Eukaryota; Metazoa; Chordata; Mammalia; Chiroptera; Pteropodidae.